AAGAUUUUAUCAAGAAUUCAUUGAAUCUAAGUAACAGUUACUAAAAAAAACGUGCAAUCUGGGUAAUAAUAGUCACUAAAUAAACAUAACAUCGCAUAACUCGACAUAACUACUCGUUAUGGUUUAAAAAUGAAACUCGAAAUUAACAAUAUUGUCAGCAAUUGGCGUAAAAAUUCAAAUCUAGCUUUUAAUCAUCAAGCUAUCAUGAGCUAUUUCCCUUAAGUACUAGUGUUUUUAUUUGAAUUAAUUGAGGAGUAACAAUCAUAAAGAAAACGUGCAAUUUGUGAUAAAAGGAAAAUGAGAUAAUGUCAUAAUGUCACACAGCGCAAUACGAUUAUAUUGCACUAGAUUGAACAUUUUCUGUGAAACUGGUGUAAAUGUAGCUAUUUUAGCCGUGUUUUUCCCCUAAGUGCAUAAAAAGAAAAAGGUGUAAUUUCAGACAAAAAAAAAAAAAUGUUGCUAAACACGCAGCUAGCUAAUCUGUUAGUUAGCGGCAUGUAUGAAAUGAAAUCCUAUUAUAAAUUACCACUUGGUUCAAAGUUUUAAGGAUAAAUGUAUGCUACGUUACAGCUAGCUUAGGAAACUAUGCUAAUAUGCUACAGGCUCAGAAAUAAAACAUGAGCAGAUUAUAGCAGUUUCUGAAUAUAGUGUUAGAAUUUCUAGCAUUAUCCAUUCAUUUAAUGUUAGUUAGCGCUGUCUCCUAGCGGCUAACACCUGAUUGAUAGUUUUGCUAGCGCACUCAUAUUUAUAAACCCGACGCUGUCGCCUUCCAGGACCGGAGUGUGACGACACGCUGUAGACGCGUCCAACUGACCGAGACGACACACAUACACACACUGAGAUGUAGACACAUUUUGAGACACGCGCCGCGAUCAGCAGGAGGCCACGCCCACAGGAAGUCCGUUGCGGCAGAUUAUGGCUGUAAUUCACACGCAUCCACCGUCCUCAUCUUCAUCUUCUUGCUUUUAUUUCUUUCUUUAUAUUGUUUUUCAAGGAAUAUCAAGGCUCUGUGUCUUUGUCUUUGUCCUUUUUCUUAAUUUAUUGUUUUGAGUGUGAGUGUGUGUGAGUGUGUGUGUGUUGUGUGUUUUUCUUUGUAUUGCAACACCGUCCAUGUCGUUCAUCUCCAUAAAGAAACAUCUGGGAACCGUUUAAAUUUUUGUAAAAAAAAAAAAAAAAACCCAAAACAAACGAAAUAAAACAAGAAAAGGAAAAAUAAAAGGACGGCUAGUUUGGCCUUUUUCCUUCAGCAUUAAACUACAGCUAUCACACAUCCUGAUAUUUUCACUAAGAAUUAGCACUAAACACUUGAGUUUUGUAGAUUUUGUAUAAAUUCUCGUACGAAAGCCCUCUAAAGCCAUUUUUCAAACUUUACGUUUUAAUUCUUUUCUUUCGGUAAAAAAACGUUAGCAUCAAAUACAAAACCCAGUCGUAUCGCUAGAAUUGUGUUUUAGAAACGAUUUUACAAUUUUUCCCUUUGGCAAUUUUUUCUUAUCAUCAAGCUAAACUACAAUUAGCAUUUAUUCCAAAUCUAAGUGUAUCGAGUCUUAACUGCUAGCAUGUCUACUCUAGAUUAGCGUGAAAAUCUGGACUUUAAAAGGACAACUAGAUAAAAAAACUCUGUUUAUUUUUAAAGCCAGUCUAAUCUGAAAUCUUUACCUUCUUUAAUUUUAAAAAAAGAAAACAUGCUAGCUACGUUCGGUGUCGUAUCCGGGCUAGUCUACAAGCUUAAAACCAGACUCAAUCGAGCGGCUGUGUCUAAAACCAUGCUAAUCUGCUAAAGUGUUAGCCUUACUUAUAUAAUCUCAGCAGGACUGGAGGGAGCGCACGCCCUCGUAAACUCCACUGUGUGUGUGUGUGUGUGUUGCGGGUGUGUGUGUGUGUAACAGUCAUCAGUGUAAACUCGGGCAGAAACAACACACAGGAUAACACACUAAUCUAACGAGGCCUAUCAGUCUCUGAAAAUUGUCCUGUUUAAAGUCAAUAAAAGCCAAAGAAACGUUUUUUAAAAAAUCAAUCGGACUUGUUUUACAAAACGACGCAAAAAAUGAUCUUUAACAAAGAUUUUAAUGUGUAGCCAUUCGAUGUGGGGCGUGUUUGUUAAUUUAAUGAACACAUCUGAAUGGACUGAAUGGGGGAAGAAACACACACUGGACACAGAGAAUGGGCGCUAGCUACGCGCUGAGACGGACUAGCUAGCUUUAUCCGAAAGCGUAAAGACGAACUGAGCGAGGAAACGUCACAGAACUUUCUGGAACGUCAACAAUAACUCACUGAACGAAUCUCGGUUGUGACCAAAAGAUUCGGCACACACGCUGUUACACAUAUGACCCACACAAUUCACAGACUUUUACAAAACACUGACGGAUUAAAAAUAUAACAUAAACCUAUGUAAAAAAAUCUCUGGAAAUGUAGUGGUUUGGCUUCAGGUUUCAGUUUUGUGGUUUGCAAUAGCGAAGCCCAUCAGCAGCAACUGAACGAAAGGAAUGACUCGGUGCGUGGCAGUGAACGAUACUGAUUCAGUUUAGUGACUCCUUUAAAAAGACUAAAUUGUUCACAAACGAAUCAUGUCUAGUGCAUGAUACUGAUUCGUUCACUUCAGUGAUCCGUUCAAAAAGACGGAAUCAUUCAUGAAUGAAACAUGUCUAGUGACUGGUACAGAUUCGGUCAUUGAAGUGAUUCGUUUAAAAAGACCGAAUUGUGAUCCGAACACGGCCGAUCCUGAUCCUUUCACGUCAGUGAUUUGUUCAAAAAAUAUGGAUUCAUUCACAAACGAAUCAUGUCUAGUGAACGAUACUGAUUCAUUCACCUUAUGACUUGUUCAAAAAGACUGAAUCAUUUGUGAUUUGUGAACUCUGUCUCUUUCCUCUUCACCAGCGCAGAUGGUGUAUUCUGUUUUCCGUCAAGUUUUUCCAGCGAUCCUUUAACUAACUGAUUUCUUACAACAGUUUCUGAACAAUAUUUGUAAGCUAUAAGUUAAAGAUACGUUUAAUGAAACUAUGCUACUUUGUGCAACCGUAUACGUUUUUAGUAGCUCAUAAUUUUUUUUUAAAUGAUUUUACAUUCACAUGAAGUUACAAUCAAAUUAGUUGAUUAGCUAAAGGUGCGUUAGGACUGACUUAUAAAUAAUCUUGUUGUCAGAGUUAUUGUAGUGUUUAGGUGAAUAAAAUUUCCCAGGAUUUUCUCACUCUGUUGUUAGCAAUAACACCAUAAACAUGCUCUACGUGUUAGUAUGUUAGCCUGUUGUGAGCUAGCAGUUACUUAUCGGACUUUUAGUAAGUUUUAGCACGUAACUUUACAGAGUUUAAACGUCAAAUCAACCACAAAGACCACAGAAGGAGGGUAGUAGUGCAUGUUUCAUAAAAUACAGUCAUCAGAACUACGCUACCCAGAAUUCCGUUCUCUCAAAUCCAGCAUUUCCUGAAACCUGGGCUAAUGUACGACGUAAAGUGUUUUAGUACUGGCUUGUCAUCAAGGUUGUCAAGUUUCAUAUUAUUUUUUUUUUUACAUAUUAUUCUCUGCAAAAUCACACCCUCUCUUCACAGCCAAUGGGGAUCUUUGACCAGCCAACAAGCGUCCAAUCAGAUUAAGUCUUUCAGCCUGAGGCACUGAAAGAGGAGCGUGAGGUGGCAGAGAGGAAAUAAAUAAAAUUGGACAUUUUACAGCAUGUUAUAGCUCAUUUCUUUCUCAUUCGAUUUCAGUCAUUCCUCAGUUGUUGUAUCACGACAAAAAAGAAACAAAAAUAACUAAAUCUUAUUAGCAGAGGUUAGCAAAGUUCUGCUGUUACUAGCCCCUCAUUCAUUCAUCUUUAUUCUUUUCUUAUCAUUUUCCUGUGCGUUAGCUAUCUAUACUCUGAAAUGGGGAAAAUAAAAUAAAUUAUCCACGUCCUGUCUGAUGUAGCUUCCUUCAUGUUAGCACCCGUCCUUCUUCAUAACCUGUGUGUGUGUAUAUGUGACAAUGUGUGAGCGUACGCAUCUUCAUAUGGACAUCAGUGUGUUGGUAUGAGUGUGUGUGCGUGUGGUUCCAUGCGCAUGUGUGUGUGUUUAGAAGCCCUUAAUGUGGCAGUAAGCCUCGAGUGAGGAGAACAAGAUGUAGAUCAGCCACAAGCUGACAAAGAGCAUGGUUGUGAGCACUUUGGCAGUCCUCGGGCCUCCCAGCUCUCCACCGAUGUCGGGUCGGCGCCGGUACAUGAGCGUAGCCACGCAGAUGAAGGCGAAGAUGGUGAAGAGUGUGACUGAGAAGGCCAGGCUGCCUGGCUCCACACGAAAUUCACGCCCUUUCGAUUGGUGGUAGAUGGCGGCGAUGGACCAUGCCACACCGAUGCCCAGGAACACAUUCACCGCAUUGCUGCCCGUCACGUUCCCGAUAGACGCAUCGGCAUACUGGUCCUGGAUCGCAGCCACUUUACUGGCGAAGGUGUCUGGAGAAAAAAAUAAAGAAAGAGAAGCAUACAUUAAGCUGGUGGAAGACUUUGAAAGGUUUGAAUGCUGCCCUCUAGUGGAAAAUACUGCAGUGACAUCCACAGUUUUAUAUCAUCGGUCAUGAAAAAUUGCAUAACAGUUAUAUCCAUUGCAUAAAGUCACACUUUCAGAUAGGGGAUCCAAAAAUGUUGCUUUCAAUUUUACAACUGCAUAAUAGUAAAGAAGGAAUAGUGGGCUG
Molecule: long non-coding RNA, 4656 nt
Organism: Ictalurus punctatus (channel catfish)
Lineage: Eukaryota; Metazoa; Chordata; Actinopteri; Siluriformes; Ictaluridae
Source: Ensembl